UGUUGCGGUUGAAAGCUCGUAGUUGGGUUUCUGCGGAGGAAGCGCGGUCCGCACUUGGUGCGUGUAUCUGGUCUACCUACGCAUCUUCCAGUGAAACGCUACUGCGCUUUAUUGCGUGGCGCGGCAAUCUGGACUUUUACUUUGAGGAAAUUGGAGUGUUUACAGCGAGCGAUUGGUUUGAACAUAUUAGCAUGGAAUAAUAACCUAGAACCUUGGUUCUAUUUUGUUGGUUUCUAGACUAAGGUAAUGAUCAAUAGGGAUAAUUGGGGGCAUUUGUAUCAACACGUCAGAGGUGAAAUUCUUGGAUUGUGUUACGAUGAACCACUGCGAAAGCAUUUGCCAAGGAUGUUUUCAUUGAUCAAGAACGAAAGUGCAGGGAUCGAAGACGAUUAGAUACCGUCGUAGUCUUUUUCGUAAACUACGCCGAUUAAAGAUUGGAGGUCGUUCUUAUUGUGGCUCCUUCAGUAAUUUAUGAGAAAUCAAAAUUCUUGGGUUCCGGGGGGAGUAUGGUCGCAAGGCUGAAACUUAAAGGAAUUGACGGAAGGGCACCACCAGGAGUGGAGCCUGCGGCUUAAUUUGACUCAACACGGGGAAACUCACCAGGUCCAGACAUAGCAAGGAUUGACAGAAUGACAGCUCUUUCUUGAUUCUGUGGGUGGUGGUGCAUGGCCGUUCUUAGUUGGUGGAGUGAUUUGUCUGGUUAAUUCCGUUAACGAACGAGAUCUUAUCCUGCUAAAUAGGAACGUGUGUCUUCGGACAUGCAGGUUGCUUCUUAGAGGGACUUUGCGAAUUGAAGCGUAGGGAAGGUUGAGGCAAUAACAGGUCUGUGAUGCCCUUAGAUGUUCUGGG
This 849-nucleotide ribosomal RNA is filed under the name uncultured Syndiniales. RNAcentral describes it as "SSU rRNA". It matches the Rfam family "Eukaryotic small subunit ribosomal RNA", at positions 611 to 1486 of the family's 1831-position model. The record is from RNAcentral. Lineage: Eukaryota; Dinophyceae; Syndiniales.